GGGAAAGGAAGGAGAGGGGAAGGGAGAGGAGCGCUCGUGGGCUGCCGCGGGUGCUUGGGCCGCUGCUGAGAAAGGAUUCGCGGCUUGGGCCAGCCUGCUUGCGGCCCGAGAGAGAGAGAGAGGGGAGGGUUUGGGGGUCUUCAGGCCGAAUAGAGAGAGUAGGGGGACUGGCCUUUGGCCCACAAAGCAGAGGGGGAAGUUUUUCCUUUUUCCUUUGUUUGUUUUUUUCUUUUAUUUCCAAACCAUUUUCAAAUCAGUUUGAAACCAUUUUGAACUUUGCUCAAAGUCACACAUUACAAUGAAAAUAAAUGCUCCAAAAUGAAUGCACAAACAAGUUGCU
Molecule: long non-coding RNA, 340 nt
Filed under: Sorghum bicolor (sorghum)
Lineage: Eukaryota; Viridiplantae; Streptophyta; Magnoliopsida; Poales; Poaceae
Description: long non-coding RNA (SBIC_LNC002420)
Source: RNAcentral